CGUGUAGGCGGCCAUGUAAGUCGGACGUGAAAGCCCACGGCUCAACCGUGGAAGUGCGCUCGAAACUGCGUAGCUUGAGUCUUGGAGAGGAAGGCGGAAUACUUGGUGUAGAGGUGAAAUUCGUAGAUAUCAGGUAGAACACCAGUGGCGAAGGCGGCCUUCUGGACAAUGACUGACGCUGAGACGCGAAAGCGUGGGGAGCAAACAGGAUUAGAUACCCUGGUAGUCCACGCCGUAAACGAUGAGUGCUAGGUGUCACGAGCUUUGACCCUCGUGGUGCCGAAGCUAACGCGUUAAGCACUCCGCCUGGGGAGUACGGCCGCAAGGCUAAA
RNAcentral lists this ribosomal RNA (332 nucleotides) under uncultured bacterium. RNAcentral describes it as "bacterial SSU rRNA". It matches the Rfam family "Bacterial small subunit ribosomal RNA", at positions 568 to 898 of the family's 1533-position model. The record is from RNAcentral.